UUUUUUUUUUGUAACUGUUAGUAUUUUUUUAAUCAUUGUACUUUAUUUUGUAAAAAGAAGAAAAUGCGUAAUUCUUUUAUAUCUUAAUUUUGUCAGUAUCUACUUAAAUGUACGGUUUUAAAAUGUAUGUUAUUGAAUGUGUAUUGAACAUUGUAAUUAACAUGUUUUUUUUGUUUUCUGUGUGUGUUUGUCCCAACCUGUCCUGUCCUUUCCUGUCCAUACCUUGAUAUUUUCAUUCAAACCUUUAUCUUGCUUACUAAUUUAAACUCAUGACUCUGUUCUUUUCCAUUCUUUCUCUUCCAACUGACAACUGGCCACGCUCAUGCUACUGCACUGCUUUGCUACUAACCUUUUAUGCACCUAAGCUAUGCUUGCCAACGCAUCUUUGAAAAGCGGUCAGAAAAUUUACCCAAAUACUGAUCUUUGAUCACCUCAAAAUCAAAAACACUGAUAUUGCAAAGAGAAAUCUUUGACUGUGAAACAUAAUCUGAACACACAGUAGUGAAACAACACCAUGCCAAGAAAAGGAAAGAGGAGUGAAUCUCAAAAACAGCGCAGAAAGCUUGAAGCUGCAUCAGAUGUUAGCAGUACCAACUCUGUGUCAGGUAUGAAUGAUGCACAACCGUAUGUUGUGUCUGUUAGAGCAUCACAUUGUCAAAGUGAUCCUAGGUACAACCUUUACUCGAGAGGUCGCCAGUGUACUUGCAAUUCUUUAAUGUUUCUAGCAGUCCAUCAAGAAUGUAAUGAGCUAAGCAGUAGUGAUUUAGAUGACAUUUUACAGAAAGGUGAUGCAGUUUACACUAGAGUUAAACAAACACUGCAGGGCAAAGGACAAUUUGUGCAUAACUUUUUAAACUUUGAUGAGCUACCGAGCACAGUGGAGAUAAACUCAGAGUUGUAUACCAUCAUAAAACAUCCUAGGAGGUUUGGAUUUCUAAGAGAUACACCUGCACUAGGUGAUUAUGAAAAUCUUGCAAACACACUGCAAUGUCUCAGAAGUGAUGUGAGCGAUGCUUUGCUGUUAAGUGGACAUUCAUGUAUUGCUGUGUUCAGAGAUCGCUCAGGGAGGUUUGGUUAUUUUGAUUCACACUGCAGAACAAUUGACGGCAUGAUUACUGAUGAAGACACAGGUACGGCUUUAAUGCUGACGUUUUUCUCUUUAGAAGAUUUGAUAGAGAGAUUGCUAUUAGUGUUGCAAGCGGAUUUGGACUUAGGAGACCAAGAUCAGUUUGAUCUGUUGCCUGUAUCAUUUGUAAAUACAUUAAUGCAAAGUUGUGUAGAUACUCAGCAUUGUGUGACCAGCCCUGAGCUUGAAAGGAAUACACAGCCAUCUGUCUCUCCUGAGAACACAGGUCUAAACAAGAAUCAACGGUUGCCUGACAUUUCACAACUUCAAGAUUCAGUUCAACAGCUACAUGAGGAAAUGUUCAGCCAAGUUUCAUCAACUAAGACAAACUUAAAUGAGCAGUCAAAGAAACUGAACAAGAUUCGAAAGAGAAAGGCUUAUAAUAUAAAAUGGCGCAAAGACCUAGCACACAAGAAACACGCAUACGAGAAAAAACAGACUUUACAUGAAGUCUAUGACUAUAAAAAAAGUAACAAGUACAGGCAAAGACAUAAACAAGCUAUGAAGAAGACCUAUUGGAAUAAUAUGAUUUACAGGGAAAAACACAAACAAGCAAUGCAACACAAAUAUAGAAAUAUUGAUGAAUACAGAGAGCGAGAAAAGGCGAGGUUUACCAGCAAUUACAGGAAUAUUGCUAAAUUUAGAAAAAGUAAAAAAAACUAUAUGAUUCAAAAUUAUAGGAAUAAACAAUUCAGAGAGAGGCAAAAGAGCUACAUAAAUGAACAGUACAGGAAUGACGAGCAAUUCAGAGAGAGGAAAAAGAGCUACAUAAAUGAACAGUACAGGAAUGACGAGCAAUUCAGAGAGAGGAAAAAGAGUUACAUAAAUGAACAGUACAGGAAUGACGAGCCAUUCAGAGAGAGGAAAAAGAAAUAUAUAAAUCAAAAGUACAGGACCAAUGCUAAAUUUAAUGAACAGCACAGGAGACAUAUUGUUGAAAGAUAUUUAAAAGACCCCAUUUUUAAGCAAAGGAAAAAAGACCAUUAUACAAAUCAGUGCAGAAAUGAUUCUGAGUUCUAUGAGAAAAGGAAAUUAAAUUGGAAUCACCGCUAUCACUAUGAUGUACAGUUUAGGACCCGCCAAAAAAUGUAUUACUUAUUUAAAGUACAAAAGAAAAGAUCCGCUCUUAACGAAAUGAGCAAGAUUCAAUGUGCACAACGCAUUCAGGGGA
Long non-coding RNA from Cyprinus carpio carpio, 2297 nucleotides. NCBI's taxonomy places the organism in Eukaryota, Metazoa, Chordata, Actinopteri, Cypriniformes, Cyprinidae. The record is from Ensembl.